CCCAUAGGCUCACACAGCUAACUGCACUUCACUACAUACUCGUGAGCAAUGCAGCAGAGACGGGAGUCAUGUAACGAAAUCUAGUCGGACAAAAUUUAAGAUUACUUCUCCAAACUGAAGGAUUUUUCUAAAUUGUAUUUUCAGUUGAAACAAGGGGUUGCUCAACAAAACACCAAAGUUCGAAGGCACACGAAUCGAACCGGUUCAAGAACAAGAGUUCCUUCGCUGGAAAAAACGCUAAAAGACAGGAAGAGCAACCUCCGAGCUGAAAGAUUUGCUUCAAACAAGUCGGAGAAAGAUGUAAGGGGUCAUCAGUCUAUAAACCAAGAAAAAUAUUUACUGUAUGUCGAAGAUGGAUUAUCUCGCAGUAUCACUACAUCCUCAUGUACAUGAUCAUCUAAAAGCUUACGGUGAAUAAACGAACACGCAGAACACCCCUUGGGGGGGUGCUUCAACAAUUGGUGACCUCCGACGUGAUUCACGGCUGAAUCAGGGAAUUUGGACAAAGAGAGAGUGUGACAGACGGAAACCUCUGAGACCAGGGCGCCCAUAAUUAAUCAUCAAAGGUGAGGCAGAGCCUAUUUCAUUAAACUCUCCGAUUGAAUUUAUGUAUAGGCCAAAUUAAAACCAGGUCUCAGUGGUUCUGAAUGUUAUUACUCUGUAAAACUGUUAAAGAGUGUGCAUUAACUGAAUGUGUUAAAAUGGAGUCAGAUAUAAAAAUCUGAGAUAAGACCAGGGGUGCAGUCCGCCUGGGUCAAAGGUUAUUGCUGAGUGUGGCUGCUCCACUCAUUAAUUGACAGAUUAAUGAGAUAAAGCUGGGUUUAGUCCCGUGUUUUGGCAAAACACAAAGUAUUGACAGGUCGACGGCCUGACAGAACAUCAGAUUUUUUUUAAUCAGAUGACAGAAUAUCUGAUGUUUUUCAAUCAGGUUACUGCUAGUUGAAAGUCUUGACAGAAUAUCAGAUUUUUUUCAGUCAGGUUACUGCUAAUUGAAAGUCUUGACAGAACAUCUGAUUUUUUUUAAUCAGGUGACAGAAUAUCUGAUUUUUUUCAAUCAGGUGAUCUGGUGGUUCAUUCAGAAAUUUUACAAGGGUUAGUGGCCCCAUCUAGUGUUCACACGGCGGAAUUACACAAGUGACGGGGAAGUGCAGUCGACUUUGAAUAUUUGAACACACAUUCUGACUUAAAAAUGCGGUUGGAUUGUUAAUUACUUAAGCGAAAUAAAAUGCAUUUGUUGUAUAUAGGGUGAAGUGGCUUGUAGUGGAUUGUUUUUGCAUAUUUGUGCAUAUUUCCUGUGUGCGAGUGUCUGUCAGACUUGUGUUGAAUUGAGGAAAUACGAACUGGAAUGUGUUUGUGUGACUGAGCGAGAUGAUCAUUUGGGUUAAAAUAACUGUCGAGUGCUAGGGAUAAGUGUCUGUGUGACGGAUUAUAGAAUAAAUGUGAAUAUUAAGUGUUUUUUGCUGAUAUUAAACGGUAGUGACUGUGGGAAAAAACUGACUACGUAUGUGUGUGUGUGUGACUGGGACAGAUCAGCAGAGAGCCGGUCUGCCAUUGCGGAUGAAUAAAUGCACUGUGUUGUUAACAAAAACAAUACAUUCAUAAGCGGAUUUUGUGCACAUAUUGUGAAAAAUUGAUUGAACAUUUAUUCCGCAGGAUUUUAAACAACAUGGAAGGUAAAUGUCUGGACACAACAGCAUGGGUGGAUUUAGAAACACAAUUAAAUAACAUACAAACACUGGUUCUCCAAACCAGGGGUACAGACGACGCGGACAAAAUUAAAAAUAAGAUCGAAAAAAAGGUGAGGCAACCACUGAAGGCGGAUGGAAUUAAUUUGACGGACAAGUGCGAUUUAGGUGAUUGGUUUAGAAAGAAACUGAACACAGCGAAGAAAAACACACAGGAAGCACAAAGUAAGUUGAAUGAAGCUACUGUUUGGUCCAACGGUAAGUACCGGACAAACGUAGAUAAAUUGGACAAAGAACAAAGUUUUUGGGCAGACAUUCUUUUGAUUUACCACGGCGGAAUUCACACAAUGCAGCGGAAAAAACCCAGAGAAGGAGACAAGAAGGAGGGGUCAAAAUCAGCCCAGGGGACGUGUCUAGACACACCUCCCGCAUAUAGACCCUCCUCCUCAUGCAGCUCCCUCACUGAUGCGCCCACACCGCCCCCUGGUGGAUUGUACCCCAUAUUGAAAGUACAGAAUGAAACACUGGUGGUGCAUGGAUUAGAGAUUCCAAAAGAGGUGAAUGAAUCUGUCAGUGGAACUUCUGGAUUAUCUAUGCCAGCAUCUGAUAGGUCAUUUCAGGAUGCAGGCCCCCACACAACCCCCCGGACAGAGGGACUGAGGACCCCUUACUGUCCAUGAUGGUGUAUGGACAAAAUCUUCCUUUUUUGGUGGACACUGGGGCCACAUGCUCAACUAUUCAACAAGCCCCUCCUACCACCCUCUCCACAAGGACUACCACUGUCAUGGGG
Long non-coding RNA from Girardinichthys multiradiatus, 2475 nucleotides. RefSeq lists it as uncharacterized. NCBI's taxonomy places the organism in Eukaryota, Metazoa, Chordata, Actinopteri, Cyprinodontiformes, Goodeidae. The transcript is spliced from 3 exons. The record is from RefSeq and is a predicted model, not a curated record.